RNAcentral lists this long non-coding RNA (8056 nucleotides) under Hordeum vulgare. RNAcentral describes it as "long non-coding RNA (HVUL_LNC002738)". Lineage: Eukaryota; Viridiplantae; Streptophyta; Magnoliopsida; Poales; Poaceae. The record is from RNAcentral.
UUACAAAGCAGAUAUGUCUAUUAUUACAAUAUAUAAUAUGCAUUCUUGGAUAAGUAGAGCUUCACACAAUUGGCUUCAAUUGGCUUCGUACUUCAACUUUCUUAGGCCUGGAGGUCCUGUAGAAGAAACAACCAUAUUUUUAAAAGCUACAAGAUACAGAUCAAGAAUAGAAACAAGGCACAAAAACUGCAUAACAGUUAUAAUACAGCUAUUUGUUUUAGUUCGUACUACUACUGUAAUCGAUGCAAAAAAAACAUACUACUACUGUAAUUGACAUAAAAACCUUGAAAGAGACAAGCAGAAGUCAAAACAUAUUUUUAGAACAGAUAUUUGCAUUAAAAUUAGGCAUUAAAAAUAAUGGACACAAAUAUUUGCAUUAAAGAUUAGGCAUUGCACACCCAGCAGAAAGAUACAAGCAGAAGUCAAAACAUAUUUUUAGAACAGCUCAUGACUACCAACAAUAAUGUAAAAUCCAGAUCCUACAUCUUCAUCCAUUUGGAUGUUGGCAUCAUAGCAUGCUUUGCUCAACCAUAGCAUGCUUUCCAUGAUGGAAAGAGACUCUACAGCAAUAACACAAUAGACAACCAAGAAGCAUCAAACUUAACUGCAAAAUUAAAGAAUAGGUGCAAGAUAAUGAAUAUUUGAUCCAGUGUCAGCCUAUUCAUGACAACACAAUAGCUGACUAAUUCUCUUUGACAAUAACACAGAUGUAAAAACAUAUACUGCAAUAUAUGUUACUACCGAAUAUAUAUACCUGAACAGAGUUCUUCUUUUCGAUCGUCAAGCUGCGAAGCAGUCUGAUCAUCUUCUGUAAUGGCAAAUGUCACUGGUGUCAGCUGAUAUCACAAGAGAGCUACACUUUCAAACAUUUUAGAUGGACAACUGCAUAAAUAAAAAAUGCAUAUACCAGACUCGGGACUAAUCCUCAACACCUUAACUGUAGUCAAUAAUUAUCAGUACUAGAUCAUGGAAGGCGCGCGUUGCCGCGCUCAUCUGUUUUUGUAAUAGAAUGGUUGUUGCCAGUACACAUAAAACAUGGGACUUAAAUUUUCAUAAAGUUACACAUAUAUUUGUUGGUUACCAAAGAGCAGAAUUUAAUGAGUUCACGGGGAAAUAAUAAUUCGGUGCUAGGUGACCAUAGAACUUGCAAACACAAAAUAUUGGGAAUAAAUCCCUAAAAUAAUCUUAUAGGCACAGAAGCCAUAUGUGCUGAAACUUUAAGGACAAAAUACAAAUUACCAAUUGGGAAGAAGCUUCUCAAUAUAUCGCAGAGAAAGAAAUAGCCACCUCAUUCUUAGAAAUUAAAGAUUUCAUUCAUUAGAAACUUGAUAUCAGUCGUGUUAGGAAAGCAACUUAUAUUCCCAUGAGGCCAUAGGCCGAUAUAUAUACAUGUACAGGUGAUGGACUAUAUGCAGGAAAACCCCUUAUAUAUUGGGAUAAAUACAAAAGGGUACAUGACUUGUAUUAUAACUCUAACACCCCCCCCCCUCAAACUCAUGGUGGAUGAACAACACUAAGUUUGGAGAGAUAAAAGCCAUGUUGUGCUCUAGUCUGGGCCUUCGUCAGGAAAUCCGCCAACUGUAACUCGGAAGGCACAUACUGAAGAGCAACAACCUGAUCCUGCACAGCAGCGCACACAUAGAAAGCAUCAACACCAAUAUGCUUGGUGAGCUCAUGCUUCACAGGAUCGCGCGCAAUGCUAAUAGCACCUGUACUGUCAGAUAAGAGCAGAGUCGGUGUAGUGACAGAAACACCAAAAUCCUGAAGUAACCAUCGUAACCAAGUCACCUCUGUCGUCAAAAGAGCCAUCGCUCGCAACUCAGCCUCUGCACUCGAACGGGAAACUGCAAUCUGUUUCUUCGUCUUCCAGGCAAUGAGAGAACCACCAAGAAAAACAUAGUAAGCAGAAAGUGAACGGCGAUCUGAAGGAUCACUAGCCCACGUAGCAUCCGAAUAGGCCUGAAGCUAUAAAGAACUGGAGCGAGGAAAGAAUAAACGGUGAGAGAUUGUGCCCCGAAGAUAUCGGAGAACACGGAGGAGAUGACUAUGGUGAACCGAUGUGGGAGUAGAGACAAACUGACUCAGAAUAUGAACCGGAUAAGAAAUAUCCGGACGAGUGACAGCUAGACAAACAAGACUGCCAACAAGAUGACGAUAGCGUGUUGGGUCAGGCAGGGGAUCACCAUCAGUAGCAGAGAGGUGAACAUUGAGCUCCAUAGGAGUCUCAACAAUGCGCUCAUCAGUAAGAGCAGCACGAGCAAGAAGAUCCUGGAUAUACUUUUCUUGGGAUAUAAAAAAGCCAUCAGAGGUAGAAGAGACUUCAAUCCCAAGAAAGUAGCGAAGAGGUCCAAGAUCAGACAUAAGGAACUGCUCACUAAGACGAGCCUUGACAAAGGCAAUAUACUCAGGGUCAUCCCCAGUGAUGACCAUGUCAUGAACAUAAAGAAGAAGAAGAGUCCGACCACGAGGAGAAAGGUGAAUAAACAAUGCUGGAUCAUGAACACUGGGUGAAAAACCAGCGGCAGUCACCACAGAGGCAAAACGCUCAAACCAGGCUCGGGGGGCUUGCUUAAGGCCAUAGAGAGAGCGACGAAGACGGCAUACCAUGCCAUCAGGAACAGAAUACCCAGGUGGAGGCUACAUGUACACCUCCUCACGUAGCUCACCAUUAAGAAAAGCAUUCUUAACAUCAAGCUGAGAGAUAGACCAGUGGCGUGUAGAGGCCACGACAAGAAGUGUACGAACAGUGGUCAUAUGAGCCACAGGAGCAAAAGUCUCGUGAUAAUCACGAUCAUGCUCCUGCUGAAAACCACGAGCCACAAGACGAGCUUUGUGACGCUCAAGAGAACCAUCGGAGCGAGCCUUUACCUUGUAGACCCACUUACAAGUGAUGGGACGGACUCCAGGAGGAAGGGAAACAAGAUCCCACGUACCUGUGCGUUCAAGAGCAGCAAUCUCCUCAGCCAUCGCAAACUGCCAUUCAGGAUGAACAACAGCCUGAUGAUAAGUAGUCGGCUCAAGAACAGCAGCUCCAGCGAUGGAAAAUCCUAAGCGAUCAACAGGCGGACGAGGACAAGAACGCAAGCCAUAAGUAGGCUGAGACGAGGAUGACGGCACAUCCAGAGAGGCAUCCACAAAACGUGAACGACGAGUGUAACACUGAGGAAAAGAUGGAACAAUGGAAGGAGGAAUCGCUAAAGUAGAAUCGGAGAGUGGCGACGAAGAAGUCACCGGAGAUGAAGGUGUAGAAUCCGGUGACAUGCUAGACGAGGAGACCGUGGAAGAUGGUGGUGACAAAUCGACUGGAGGUGGAGAAGCAGAGGGAGCGGAAUGAGUAGGCAAAGGCUCGACGAGUGUGAUAGGCGUGUCAGGAAAAGUGAGAAAAGAGAUAUCCUCCACUGAAAAAGUCGUGGAAGAUGGGCGUGGGUAGAAGGGACGAGACUCAUCAAAAGUCACAUCCCGAGAGAUACGUAUCUGACGACCGAUAGGAUCCCAACAACGAUAGCCCUUAUGCUCAUCACUAUAGCCUAAGAAGACACACUCAACAGACUGAGCGGUCAGUUUGGUGCAUUCGCGGGGGGCAAGAAGAACAUAGAAAACACAACCAAACAAGCGAAGCGUCGAAUAAUCGGGAGACCGAUCAAAAAGACGCUCGAAAGGAACACCACCCUGUAGAGCAGCGGAAGGCUAGAAAUUGAUGAGAUAGGUGGAGGUGGAGACAGCCUCAGCCCAAAAAUGAGGCGGGAGAGAGGCAGCAAUCAUCAAUGCACGAGCCGUCUCAAGAAGAUGACGAUGCUUGCGCUCAGCCACGCCAUUCUGAGCGUGAGCACCAGGACAAGAGAAUUGAGAGAGAGUCCCUUGCUCAGUAAGAACACAACGCAACAUCUUAGAGAUAUACUCGCCAGCGGAGUCAACACGGAACACACGAAUGGGAGAAGAGAACUGAGUAUGAACCAUGGCAGCAAAACGCUUAUAAAUGGACAACACCUCACUACGAGAAGUCAUGAAAUAAAGCCAUGUGUAACGACAGAAGUCAUCUAUGAAAAUAAUAUAGUAUUUAUGACCCCCUUUCGAAGCGAAGGGAGCCGGACCCCAUACAUCGGGAUGAACUAAAUCAAAAGGAUGCUUAGACACUGACUCACUAUGUGGAUAUGGUAACUGAAUCUGCUUGCCAAGACGACAACCCUGACACUCUAAAGAGGCAUCUCCUGAGACAGACCCCAGAAGACCUCGACGAACUAACGACGACAAACGAGAACCACACAGAUGACCAAGUCGAUGAUGCCACUGCUGGAAGGAACCAGUAGCCGAGGCGACCAAAGCAGAAGAACUGGCGAUAGAGUGGGCAGCGAAAGGAACAUGAAGCCAGUCCAACUCCCAAAGACCUUCAGAAUCACGGCGGCGAGGACCAGCCCCAACCAGAGUGUGUGUGCGACGGUCCUGAACAGAACAAGAGUCAAGGUCAAGGAUGACACGACAACCAGAAUCAGCAAGUUGACCAGCGGAAAACAAAUUCAUGGUAAGUGGAGGAAUAUGAGCAACAUCAGGAACAGAGUAAGAAGGAGUGGUAAGAGUGCCUCUACUAACGACAGGAAGGGGAGUACCAUCAGCGGUUAGGACAUGAACAGGAGAAUCAAGUGAUCGAAGAGAGGACAGAGUGGAAGAAUUAGAAGUCAUAUGGAAGGAAGCUCCAGAGUCCAGAACCCAUGGGGAUGUACCUGAUUGUGUAGAAGGUGGUUGCUCAGUGCGGGAAGCCUCAGUCACAGAACCAGCAGUACCCGUCGAGGAAGAACCCGAAGCAGCGAGCAGACGCUUAAGUCUCAGAAUAUCCUGCUCAGUCAAAGCGAUGGCUGAAGCUGUCGAGGUAGAUGACGAGGUCUCUGUAGAUGAUGAGCGCGCCUUGCGCAAGUGUUUCUUCUUCGUGUAGCAGUUGGACUCAAUGUGACCAUCAUUGUUGCAGUAGCCACAAUGUGGACGGGGCCGACCUGAGCCUCUAGAAGGUGUGGGCAAGAGCGGCGGAGCACUCAAGCGAGAAGGGGUCGGUGCAGCAGAUGGCUUAGAAGUAGCCCGAGCAGCGAGUACCGAGGGAACCUCCAGCAAACCAGCACCACGUAAGCGAGUCUCCUCAGCACGGAUCUCAGAAAGCGCCUCCAUGAGAGAGAUACAGCCACGAGCAAACAACUGAGCACGCCGGGGCUCAAACUCCUUACGGAGCCGAGACAGGAACUCGUAGACGCGAUGAAACUCCAAAUCAGCCUGGACAGCCUGGCAACAGGGGCAAGUACGACAACCAGCACUGCGGAGAGAAUCAAGCUGGCGCCAGAUAGCAGAACUCUGUGCAUAGAAGUCAUCAACAGUGGAGUCACCCUGCUGAAGAGCAUGCUCCUGACGGACCAUAAGAGGCAUAAGGCAUCACCCGAGGGCUCAUAGCGCUGACAAAGGCGAGUCCACAUCUCAAACACAGUAGGGAGGCCCAGAAACUCAGAGGCAAACUGAGGCAGAACGCUAGCAGUGAGAACAGCUGCAGCACGAGCAUCAUCAUCAAGCCACUGGGUGUAAGCAGACAGAGCACCAUGAUACGUCUGAAGGGCCUCCUCAUAAGCCAAAGCCUUCUCAUCAAGUACGGAUAGCGGCCUCAUCAGCAAGCUUAGCCGUAUCCUUUGCGGCCUGAGAAGCAUCCGUGGGAAGAGCCGGUGGGGUCGGCGGAGUGGGAGCCACGGGAGGAACCGGGCAUGGCGGACAACAGACCUCGCCAGAAAGAAAACCCCAUAGGCGGAUGCCACGCAUGUGAAUGCGCAUGAAGCCAAUGAACUCGGUGUAAUUAGUGCCAUCAAAGAUCACCGGACAACGAGGAACAGCAACGUAGCCGGAUGAAGCAGACGAUUUUUUUUCUCUUUUUUUUUACUCAGUCAACGAACCGCGUGAGACAGCAGGACUCGAACUGGGACAGCCUCGGAUGCGAUCUGGUGAUGAUGGAGUCGAGGGCCUCUGCUGAUGGGAACAGCGUCCGCGAUCUGGCUAGAUGGUGGGAACAGCUGCCACGGGGCUGGUGCGAUCUCGCUCUGCUGCUGGGACACGGGGUGGUGGGAACCGCCUGAUGGGAGCAGAAUCCGCGUCACCUGCAGGAGAGGCAGCCACCAGCAACGAAGGAUUCCGCCCACCAGCAACAAAGGAUUCCGCCAUGAGCGGAAGCAGCAGCAACUGCACGACUGCGGGUGCGGAACUGACGGAGCGGUGUGGGAUCGGCGGCUUCUGCUGCGNAACAGCUAGAUGUAGCCGGCCGAGACCGAAUUCAAUCUGGACCCGAGUUUGAUCUGGAAACCAAAAUCGGGCAGUGGGAUGGAGAGGGAUCCGGCGGGGACGGGGGUUGGAGACGACCGGGACGAGCUGGAGACCCGGCUGCAGCACGAGCACGACGUGGGAAGGGGCGUCGGUGAGAGAGGCUGCAGUGAGAGUGUCGAGAAGGAGGAAAAACACGAGUUGCGCGUGCGAAAAAAGAACCUAGGGCUCUAAUACCAUGUUAGGAAAGCAACUUAUAUUUCCAUGAGGCCAUAGGCCGAUAUAUAUACAUGUACAGGUGAUGGACUAUAUGCAGGAAAGCCCCUUAUAUAUUGGGAUAAAUACAAAAGGGUACAUGACUUGUAUUAUAACUCUAACAAGUCGUACGUGUUACAUUCUAGCAACAAUUAGUUGACAACAUUACUAAAAACAUCCCUGCCACGAUGUAGGAGUCAUUCCUUGUUAAGAUGCAGCGUGAGCCACUCUUAACAGUGGGCAUGAGAUUCCUGAAUCUAGAGGCCUCCUGGAAACAGUACAAAGACAGUGGGCAGCGUAAAUGCAUGAGACCAUGGGAAAGAUAAGAUCCUGUCACGACUAAUUGAUCAACUGAAAGAAAAGAACUAAUGCUCUGCCUGAGUUCUACAUCAAAUAGAUGUGCUCUUCUAUCAGGGCUAGGUCAUGUACCAUCAACCCCAUCCAACAUAUUGGCAAAAAAACAGAACUUUCUGGAUCAAACUUAGAUUCCAUCAAAAGAUUAAAGAAAAUAAAGGCACACUUUGCGGGGGUACAUUACAAGCUUAAUUGUGUUAAUUACUUUAGGAACAUCAUCUUCGUCAAUAACAACAUUCCUCCCUGCAGCAAACCUUUAUGUUCUCAGCAAUCAAUAGCAAUACAAGAAAAUAAAACAAAUUGUUCAGGCAUAUGUGAUCCCAACAACAUGAGCAGCAUCUAUAUCAAUGAACAAAUGGUAACAGAUUUAACAAGGAAGAGCAAGCAGGCAGAGGGCAUCAUUUGGCGAUCCUAUAUCUGAAGUAACAGUGUGUCAAGUCCAUUUGCAAUAUCCACUAGUACACUGUAUAUGAGACUAAAACAAUUCAUUGGAAGCUUUAGAAUUCACAUAACAUUGAAUUUCACUAUCAAAUUCGCAAGAACUUUACAGUUGCAAGACAGCAGUUACGAUAGUGAGAAAACAAGCAAUUUUCUGACCCAAAAGGAAGCAAGCAAAAAAACACACACACCUUUGGAACGAGAGUGACCGAGACGGCAUCAGCGAGCUUGUGGAUGCCAGUGGCGAGCCCGCGCCAGCAAGCGUCGCCGGUGGAUAUCACCUUGACGUCCGCAACGCAUCAUGGUUGUCGGACCUAAUUGAGAAGGAGGCUCGGCAGUGGCCGCUGGAACUCUACCAGCGUCGCUGUACUUGACUAAUGGGUUGAGUGGGUACCAUAAAAGAGCUCUAAUUCAGAGCCCAAGCGUGGGAGCAGCAUCACCCAGAGCAGGCCCUGAUCAAUACUUGUAGAUAUAUAUUACUAAUACAGUUAAUAGCCAAAAGAAAUAAACAGAGCAGGGAUGUAGACAUGCAUCGCCUAGUUACCCUCCGGUCUCGUCGCCGGCGGCGCCGCCAGGCGAUGACGACGCGGCCUUGGGCGCGGCGGACGGCAGCACGAACGUGACCUCGGUGGCCAUCUCCUGCUUGCACCGCGGGAUGCAAUCAGCGUCAAAAAAGGGUGCACAGAUCGAACUCACAAGCCAACAAGGGGAAAACGAAAAAACAAAAAAA